This is an RNA transcript of Triplophysa rosa, 3877 nucleotides long. RefSeq lists it as uncharacterized. Lineage: Eukaryota; Metazoa; Chordata; Actinopteri; Cypriniformes; Nemacheilidae. The transcript is spliced from 4 exons. The record is from RefSeq and is a predicted model, not a curated record.
GUUCAUUUAUUCACAGGCGGGGGAACAACAUUCUGACGGCCUCUUGGUACCGUCACAGACUCAGAUCCACUGAUAGAUGCCUGUGUUCUGGAGUUGUGCUUUCGUGCGGACGGGGGGGAUUCAUCGCGGCUCUUGCAAGUUUAAAGAAAUGGAAUCGUGCUCCGUGUUAUAUGGCCCCGAGUAAUGAAGAAGAGAAGAUGGAAGGAAGGAAGGAAGGAGGGAGGGAGAAAAAGAGGAGGUGUGCUAAACCCUGGUUUCCCUCCUCAGCCCUUUUGGGAUAUGAAGGCCCCAGAUGGUGUAGGGGUGUGAAAGCAGUGUGUGUGUGUGUGUGUGUGUGUGUGUGUGCGUGCGUGCGUGCGUGCGUGCGUGCGUGUGUGUGUGUGUGCGUGCGUAUAUAUUAAAGUCUGUUUGUCAGUUUCUCUGUCUGUCUGUCCAUCUGUAAUUUCCUUCCAAAAUCAGGGGCGUCCUUAGUGAAGGAACCCUGCCCUAAUGUCAUCCGUGUGAGGGGAAGCUUGUCUGUCUGUCUGAAUGGAAACAAAAGACAGUGGACACAACUAACCCCCCAAAAUCAUCUUUGUCCCCGUUGCCCUCUGCCGCCCAGAGCCUGACACCCAGCUCUAGGGGCUUUGAUUAGCCAAGUGGAGACGCUGGGGAGUCACAAUACCCUCUGCCCUGAUUAGCCUGCACUUGGCCACUGCUGACCCCUCCUUCCAAAGAGAAUCAUGUGAAGGGGCUGGAGAUACUGAAACAAGGCAUUUGGGAAGGAACAUCAUGCACCUUGACCUGUCUAGACACUGCUGGUGUAACAAAUAGAUAAUGUGGCCUUUUCAUGUUAUUGAUGUUCUGCCCUCUCUUUUAUGUUUGAGGCAACUAUAAGGCCAAUAGGUAAACUGUUUUCUGUUCUAGUAUUUUUUUUUACUUUUAAUAGUGAAAUCAUUCCUAGUUAUUUUUUUACAUAUUUACGUCACAUAGGAAAAGUUUUCCAGUUUCCGACAUUCUGAGACUCCACAUUUUCUGUAAGUAUUUCUUCUUAACCAAAUUGAUGUACUACUCAAGUUUUGUUUUCUGUUGCCUUAGAUUGCUUGGCUGUUUUACAAAGCAUUUUUUCUGGUGACAUUUAAAUUGUGUUUAUUUAUUGUAUGAUAAUUCUAGUUAGUCAUAAGACAUAUGACGUACAUCUACUAUACCAUGUCACAUACUAUGUUAAAUUGAAAAUAAAUCUAUUUUCAACUUUAUCUAGUUUUUACAUCUCAAAGUAGAUACAUCGUUAUCGUUUGUGUGGGUUUCAUAACUAAUUGUGCACAAGAAAUAAUAUUUUUUCAUACAAAUGAACCACUAAACCAUAAAAAUACUUGCAAUACAUAAUGUGAAAGUUACUGAAUCUUAAAACUACAUCUUUGUCCUUUCUUGUAUUAUGCUGAGUCAAGAUAUCAAAUCUGAUGAUUGUGCCUUUUGGGAGUUAGACACUCAAAACCUGAUGACAGGUGAAAUAUUUGGUCACCAGAAUAUUACGAUUUCCCAAUAUUUCUGAAAUGCUGGUGUGAAUGUUAUGUUUAGACAGUGAUUUUUCCAUUCAUUAUGAAUGGCUGUAGGCAUAGUUUUCUCACUGUAACUGCAGGAAGUGCCGCUGUUGUUGUUCCUGUGUGGGUGGGUGGGUGGGUGGGUGCCCGCAUCGCUACCGCGGCUUUGCCGGUUCCCUCCAUUGUCAUGCAGCGAUAUCCCCAACAGACCCUGAAUCUGUAAUGGUUGAGUGUUCUGUCAGUAAUAAUAGUGUCUAGAUUGGUUAAAUCUGACCCUGGAACAGUCCUAGAAGAACGCAUUUAUAGAGGUGAAUUGUAGAAGAGAUGCAGUGGUGGGGGUUGUUAUGGCGUGCUCUGUUUGGCUGCUUCUGCCCCGCCCUCUAACCAGCCACUCAGAGCCAAGAAAAUGGCAGCUGCAGUGAGCUGCCAAGUGAACACCGAUUCUCCACCCACCCCUCCAUUUCACCAAUCGCCCCCACCCAUCCACCCCGCUCUCCCUCUCCCAUGUUUUGUCAGUUUUGCAGUAAAAUGAAUUAGAAUCUUGGGUUCUUUGCCAUCUUAUAAAUGCCUUCCAACAUUCUUGCCAUUAUUACGUCUUAUGCCCACGUUGGCAGUUCAGUACUGCCCAGGUUGACGUAUGAAGCGUCAACGCCCCACACCGAUAGCAAUUUGUGUAGAUAGAAGAAAAUGAAGUAGAUGUUAUGUCUCGAUCAUGUCUAACCUCACACAGACACACCUCUGCCCACUUUAUCUUCCGCUGCACGUAACCACGAAGAACAUAAGCCUCAUACAGGGGAUCCUUUAGUACAUUUCAUGGCAGUCAAAGCGUCGGGAAUGUUUUAAUGAAUGCUGUCAUAUGUAUGUCAUUUCUGAUGAAUGGAUGUUGUCAGGGGUUUUAUUUUGGCUGAUGUAUAAUUGAGAGUGUGGAAUCUGAAUCGCUGUUGUAAAACAGAGACGGCAUUCACUCAGGUGUUUAUUCACACUAAGUUUGAGAUUUAUUUUGAUUAACAGGUGCACGUAAAAUCUGCAUGUUAGAACACGAAAUGUAUUAAAUAGAAAAAUUAGUUUUUAUAAUUUUAAGCGUGUUUGUAAUGUCUCUGCGUAGGUGUCUGUUUGUCCGUUGAGUCCUGCGUCUUUCAAUUUCAGCAUCCUACAUAUAAUUAUGGUGCAUCAUAGGUUCCUAAUUUUUAUUUUCUAUAUUUGUUUUCAAGUUUUCUGCCUAAAGUGAGCUGAUUUGCCCUGCUAUGGCGAAACUAAACUCACUGAAGUGUCUGAUUAAAUCGUUACCAAGAAACACUAAACAAUGACCCAGUUAGUUCGUCUAUCCUCUGUUUGGCUUUGCCAGCACACCAGAAUGAGGCAGGGCUUCUUCCUUGAAGAAUGCAAAAUAAUUUCCACAUAAUAGUGCCGACACUUAGUCUUUAUUUGUCUGAGACUGACCCUCUAUGGAUGCAUUUGUGGAUGUGAGCAUGUUAAGAGAAUAUUCCAAGGUUAUUCUGUGGACAGCAUGAGACCCUCCCUAUUUUCCAUCUUGAGUUGAUGGUAAAAUGCAGCUUGGCAGUUCAAAUGAAUAGAUCAUUGCGUGUCGGAUGUGCAAUAACACACUGUAUAUCUAAAAGUAUGCUAUAGUGUCUUUAAAUCUGAAGCAUGCAAAUUUGUAUUUCCCAUGUUUGACUGAUGCUGUUUUUGUGAAUUUGUCUGUGUUCUUUGUCACAGGAUAGUGAAGAGGAGCAGAGAUGGUGUGUCUUCCGAGAUGAAACAGGUAGCAAUAUGAAAGUAUAUACAUUGUAUGCAUAACUGUCUUUACCGCAUUCCUCUGUAUACCUCACUUCCUGUAAUGUACUCUUAUACUCAAAUAAAUUUCCAUCAGUACAGUGAAUAGGCCUACAGAAAUUCUUUUAAAUGCUCUCAUACAAUCACUAUACAUGUUGUAUAUGAUAUUGUAAAUAUCAGCGUAAUGUUACUGGCAGUCUAGCGAAGCACAUUUACAUUUAGUCAUUUAGCAGACGCUUUUAUCCAAAGCGACUUACAGAUGAGGUAGGCCAUGAUCUUAAUAUAAAACAAACUAAAGGUAGAAAACUCUUUAUUUUACACAUUACACUGUUCAUUUUUACACAAGCUACACAUUUGUGAGUUUGUGUGUCCUAUUCUUUGUCAGUUGAUGUCAAAAAUAUGUGCAUGUUUAUUAUCCAGCGUUAGUAAUUUUCUUGUAAUUGCAAUUUUCUGGCUAAUCCAUGUACAAAUAUGACCUUUUUGUAAAAUGGACACCGCACACAACCACACAUUAAUAUGUAUCUACUUUAUAUAAACCACAUAUCGGUGUGUUGUCUGUCCGCAAUGUCUGAUAUUAUAAAUAA